Non-coding RNA from Chryseobacterium arachidis, 94 nucleotides. Lineage: Bacteria; Pseudomonadati; Bacteroidota; Flavobacteriia; Flavobacteriales; Weeksellaceae. The record is from Rfam.
UCCUAGCCCAGAUAGGAACGGCAUCCUUUUUUGUUGCGGCUGGAGCGAAGCGGAAGCCGUAACAAAAAAGAUACAGUGGAUAGCUGGAAAUAGC